RNAcentral lists this ribosomal RNA (462 nucleotides) under uncultured bacterium. RNAcentral describes it as "partial 16S ribosomal RNA". It matches the Rfam family "Bacterial small subunit ribosomal RNA", at positions 28 to 507 of the family's 1533-position model. The record is from RNAcentral.
GACGAACGCUGGCGGCGUGCUUAACACAUGCAAGUCGAACGGAAAGGCCCUUCGGGGUACUCGAGUGGCGAGCGGGUGAGUAACACGUGGGUGAUCUGCCCUGCACUUUGGGAUAAGCCUGGGAAACUGGGUCUAAUACCGGAUAGGACCACGGCAUUCAUGUGCUGUGGUGGAAAGCUUUUGCGGUGUGGGAUGGGCCCGCGGCCUAUCAGCUUGUUGGUGGGGUAAUGGCCUACCAAGGCGACGACGGGUAGCCGGCCUGAGAGGGUGACCGGCCACACUGGGACUGAGAUACGGCCCAGACUCCUACGGGAGGCAGCAGUGGGGAAUAUUGCACAAUGGGCGCAAGCCUGAUGCAGCGACGCCGCGUGAGGGAUGACGGCCUUCGGGUUGUAAACCUCUUUCGCCAGGGACGAAGCGCAAGUGACGGUACCUGGAGAAGAAGAACCGGCCAACUACGUG